GACGAACGCUGGCGGCGUGCUUAACACAUGCAAGUCGAACGCUGAAGCUCAGCUUUUGUUGGGUGGAUGAGUGGCGAACGGGUGAGUAACACGUGAGUAACCUGCCCCCUUCUUUGGGGUAACGCCCGGAAACGGGUGCUAAUACUGGAUAUUCACUGGUCUUCGCAUGGGGGUUGGUGGAAAGGGUUUUUCUGGUGGGGGAUGGGCUCGCGGCCUAUCAGCUUGUUGGUGGGGUGAUGGCCUACCAAGGCUUUGACGGGUAGCCGGCCUGAGAGGGUGACCGGUCACAUUGGGACUGAGAUACGGCCCAGACUCCUACGGGAGGCAGCAGUGGGGAAUAUUGCACAAUGGGCGCAAGCCUGAUGCAGCGACGCCGCGUGAGGGAUGGAGGCCUUCGGGUGGUGAACCUCUUUCGCUCAUGGUCAAGCCGCAACAAUGGUUGUGGUGAGGGUAGUGGGUAAAGAAGCGCCGGCUAACUACGU
This 482-nucleotide ribosomal RNA is filed under the name uncultured bacterium. RNAcentral describes it as "partial 16S ribosomal RNA". It matches the Rfam family "Bacterial small subunit ribosomal RNA", at positions 28 to 506 of the family's 1533-position model. The record is from RNAcentral.